GACGAACGCUGGCGGCGUGCUUAACACAUGCAAGUCGAACGGAAAGGCCCUGCUUUUGUGGGGUGCUCGAGUGGCGAACGGGUGAGUAACACGUGAGUAACCUGCCCUUGACUUUGGGAUAACUUCAGGAAACUGGGGCUAAUACCGGAUAGGAGCUCCUGCUGCAUGGUGGGGGUCGGAAAGUUUCGGCGGUUGGGGAUGGACUCGCGGCUUAUCAGCUUGUUGGUGGGGUAGUGGCUUACCAAGGCUUUGACGGGUAGCCGGCCUGAGAGGGUGACCGGCCACAUUGGGACUGAGAUACGGCCCAGACUCCUACGGGAGGCAGCAGUGGGGAAUAUUGCACAAUGGGCGGAAGCCUGAUGCAGCAACGCCGCGUGCGGGAUGACGGCCUUCGGGUUGUAAACCGCUUUCGCCUGUGACGAAGCGUGAGUGACGGUAAUGUGUAAAGAAGCACCGGCUAACUACGUG
This 468-nucleotide ribosomal RNA is filed under the name uncultured bacterium. Its description in RNAcentral is "partial 16S ribosomal RNA". It matches the Rfam family "Bacterial small subunit ribosomal RNA", at positions 28 to 507 of the family's 1533-position model. The record is from RNAcentral.